This 72-nucleotide transfer RNA is filed under the name Listeria monocytogenes. Its description in RNAcentral is "tRNA-Lys". The stretch from base 8 to 65 matches the Rfam family "tRNA", at positions 8 to 63 of the family's 71-position model. Rfam says of the family: Transfer RNA (tRNA) molecules are approximately 80 nucleotides in length. Their secondary structure includes four short double-helical elements and three loops (D, anti-codon, and T loops). Further hydrogen bonds mediate the characteristic L-shaped molecular structure. tRNAs have two regions of fundamental functional importance: the anti-codon, which is responsible for specific mRNA codon recognition, and the 3' end, to which the tRNAs corresponding amino acid is attached (by aminoacyl-tRNA synthetases). tRNAs cope with the degeneracy of the genetic code in two manners: having more than one tRNA (with a specific anti-codon) for a particular amino acid; and 'wobble' base-pairing, i.e. permitting non-standard base-pairing at the 3rd anti-codon position. Lineage: Bacteria; Bacillati; Bacillota; Bacilli; Caryophanales; Listeriaceae. The record is from RNAcentral.
GAGCCGUUAGCUCAGUUGGUAGAGCAUCUGACUUUUAAUCAGAGGGUCGCUGGUUCGAAUCCAGCUAGCCCA